GGAAUGUGGCUUAGUGGUAAAGUACUUGCCUUGCAUGCAUGAAGCCCUGGGUUCAAUUCCUCAGUACCA
This 69-nucleotide transfer RNA is filed under the name Dipodomys ordii (Ord's kangaroo rat). It matches the Rfam family "tRNA". From Rfam's summary of the family: Transfer RNA (tRNA) molecules are approximately 80 nucleotides in length. Their secondary structure includes four short double-helical elements and three loops (D, anti-codon, and T loops). Further hydrogen bonds mediate the characteristic L-shaped molecular structure. tRNAs have two regions of fundamental functional importance: the anti-codon, which is responsible for specific mRNA codon recognition, and the 3' end, to which the tRNAs corresponding amino acid is attached (by aminoacyl-tRNA synthetases). tRNAs cope with the degeneracy of the genetic code in two manners: having more than one tRNA (with a specific anti-codon) for a particular amino acid; and 'wobble' base-pairing, i.e. permitting non-standard base-pairing at the 3rd anti-codon position. Lineage: Eukaryota; Metazoa; Chordata; Mammalia; Rodentia; Heteromyidae. The record is from Rfam by way of RNAcentral.